GUCUGGAGUCAAGUUAGCCCCCGUGAUGUUGCCGGUUUAUACCAAACAACGUGCGGGGGUUUUCU
This 65-nucleotide antisense RNA is filed under the name Kluyvera ascorbata. Its description in RNAcentral is "rdlD antitoxin". It matches the Rfam family "rdlD antitoxin". The record is from RNAcentral. Lineage: Bacteria; Pseudomonadati; Pseudomonadota; Gammaproteobacteria; Enterobacterales; Enterobacteriaceae.